UUGAUGGCAUUUGCUUAUUGCCAUCACCUUACCGACUCCAUGUGGCCUUGACACAGUGUCACAACCUGUCACAGCAUGUAGGAAGAGUACUGAGUCAACAAGGUCAGCAUCUAGUUGUUCUUGUAGGGUGCAGACAUUGAUGAUCUUGUUGGCUGUCUGCAGGAACAUGGGAUGAUGACUGAUGUUGGUAUGGUGU
Thalassophryne amazonica is the source of this 196-nucleotide long non-coding RNA. RefSeq lists it as uncharacterized. NCBI's taxonomy places the organism in Eukaryota, Metazoa, Chordata, Actinopteri, Batrachoidiformes, Batrachoididae. The transcript has 3 exons. The record is from RefSeq and is a predicted model, not a curated record.